Molecule: small RNA, 148 nt
Filed under: Macaca mulatta (Rhesus monkey)
Lineage: Eukaryota; Metazoa; Chordata; Mammalia; Primates; Cercopithecidae
Description: Metazoan signal recognition particle RNA (ENSMMUG00000062896.1)
Source: Rfam by way of RNAcentral
GCUGGGUGUGGUGGCACAUGCCUGUAAUCCCAGCUACUCGGGAGGCUGAGGCAGAAGAAUUGCUUGAACCCGGGAGGUGGAGGUUGCAGUGAGCCAAGAUCAUGCCACUGUACUCCAGCCUGGGUAACAGAGCGAGACUCUGUCUCAA